UGCGUAGGUGGUUAGGUAAGACCUGUGGGAAAGACCUGGGCUUAACCCAGGAAGGUCGCAGGUGACUGCCUGGCUAGAGGGCGGGAGAGGAGCGCGGAAUUCCCGGUGUAGCGGUGAAAUGCGUAGAGAUCGGGAGGAAGGCCGGUGGCGAAGGCGGCGCUCUGGAACGUUCCUGACACUGAGGCACGAAAGCGUGGGGAGCAAAACAGGAUUAGAUACCCUGGUAGUCCACGCCCUAAACGAUGGGUACUAAGUGUCGGCGGGUUACCGCCGGUGCCGCACCUAACGGAGUAAGUACCCCGCCUGGGGAGUACGGCCGCAAGGUUGAA
RNAcentral lists this ribosomal RNA (329 nucleotides) under uncultured bacterium. RNAcentral describes it as "bacterial SSU rRNA". It matches the Rfam family "Bacterial small subunit ribosomal RNA", at positions 568 to 898 of the family's 1533-position model. The record is from RNAcentral.